AUGGACAGCAUCCUGAUGGUCAAGAGCGAGAUCGAGAGCUACGCGGGGCAGCCCGCGGUGCUGGGUGGCGGCGGCGGCGGCGAGGUCGUGGUCAGGAGGAGGAGGAGGGAGCCCACGCUCGGGCCGGUCGGCGGCGGCAUCGGCAAGGCGUCCCUGCCCGGCGUCGCCGUCAAGAGGAGCUCCCGGUUCCGUGGGGUGAGCAGGCAUCGGUGGACGGGCCGCUACGAGGCGCACCUGUGGGACAAGAACUCGUGGAACCCCACGCAGAGGAAGAAGGGCAAGCAGGUGUAUCUUGGAGCGUACGACGAGGAGGAGGCAGCGGCGAGGGCCUACGACCUGGCUGCUCUCAAGUACUGGGGCGCCACCACCUACACCAACUUCCCGGUCAUGGACUACGACAAGGAGCUCAAGAUCAUGGAGACCCUCACCAAGGAGGAGUACCUGGCGUCGCUAAGGAGGAAGAGCAGCGGCUUCUCCAGAGGCGUGUCCAAGUACCGCGGCGUCGCCAGGCACCACCAGAACGGACGAUGGGAGGCGAGGAUCGGGCGCGUCUUCGGGAACAAGUACCUCUACCUCGGCACCUACGGCACGCAGGAGGAGGCGGCGCGCGCCUACGACAUCGCGGCCAUCGAGUACAAGGGCGUCAACGCCGUCACCAACUUCGACCUCAGGUCCUACAUCACGUGGCUCAAGCCCCCCGUCGCCGGCCCGGCGGCGCUCGCCGACCACCUCCUCGCCGGCAUGCACACGCAGCUCCCUCCCAGCCCCGUGGAGCACGAGCGCUUCCUCCCGGCCGAGGCCCACAUCAUGCUCCCUCCCACGACGGCGGCGGCGGCCCCGGGCAGCCCUUUCAUCCUCGACCACAGCGCGGCGGCGCUCGGUGGCGGCCUGAGGAGGAGGAGCUCGUCGUCGUCCUCGUCCACGGCGCUCAGCCUGCUGCUCAAGUCGACCAUGUUCAAGCAGCUCGUGGAGAGGAACGACCCGGAUUCGCCGCAGGGCACGGGAGGGUGCGCGGAUCGCGUCGGGGAGCUGCCGGCGGGGGAAGGGUCGUACGAGUACCGCGACUUCUUCCAUGGGGUUUCUUCCGACGUGUGCGGCCUCUUCUCGUCGCCAAGCAACGCUUGUGGCAACAAUGCGGGGUUUCAGGGGGCCGCCGUGGCGUCGUGCUACGGUAGCGGCGAGAGGAUGGCACCGACGACGACGCCCUGGGAUGGGUUUGGGGACAUUGCGGCGCUACAAUAG
This 1242-nucleotide ribosomal RNA is filed under the name Triticum aestivum (bread wheat). RNAcentral describes it as "partial small subunit ribosomal RNA". The record is from RNAcentral. Lineage: Eukaryota; Viridiplantae; Streptophyta; Magnoliopsida; Poales; Poaceae.